ACACAUAUGUACCCACCCCUCUUUGAUAUCGGUUAAAUGGGUUUUCCCAGCAAUCUAGAGGCCCUCUAUAAGGCUUUGGAUAUCGUAUGGAGCCACGUCGAUCAGUAUAGCGUGGGCACUACAUUCUUUAUAGGGGGACCAUCACCUCCUCGUAAAUAUAAGUAACCUUUUACACAAGUCCUUUCCAAAAUAGGUAAGUUUGAGCCUGCUUACCCCAGGCAAUAAGUAUGCCUUCACAAAGUGGGGGAGCAUUAUGUAAAAAUAUAUGUGCUCAGAUCCAAAAUAAAUUUGGUGAAAUUAUACCCAAAACCACCUUGGAUCUAUAAAAUUGCCCCUAGUAGCCGUCAUAGAUCUCUUUCUUCUCUGGACACACUGCCACAUGAUUCCCUCUCUGGAUUUCUAAUUCUAACGUUGAUAGUCUUUUCUGACUUUUC
This 434-nucleotide long non-coding RNA is filed under the name Carica papaya (papaya). Its description in RNAcentral is "long non-coding RNA (CPAP_LNC015618)". The record is from RNAcentral. Lineage: Eukaryota; Viridiplantae; Streptophyta; Magnoliopsida; Brassicales; Caricaceae.